GCUUCGGGGCGAGGUGCAAUUCCUCACCGGCGGUUAAAGUCCGCGAACCUCUUUGAGGCCGAACGGGUGAAACUCCCGUACCGACGGUAUAGUCCGGAUGAAAGAAGU
Molecule: non-coding RNA, 108 nt
Filed under: human gut metagenome
Description: FMN riboswitch (RFN element)
Rfam family: FMN riboswitch aptamer (RFN element)
About the family: The RFN element is a highly conserved domain that is found frequently in the 5'-untranslated regions of prokaryotic mRNAs that encode for flavin mononucleotide (FMN) biosynthesis and transport proteins.
Source: RNAcentral